GGAAGGGUGUCAGAGCGGCCGAAUGAACGUGACUGGAAAUCACGUGUACUCGCAAGGGUACCAUGGGUUCGAAUCCCAUCCCUUCCGCCA
Molecule: transfer RNA, 90 nt
Filed under: Candidatus Portnoybacteria bacterium CG_4_10_14_0_2_um_filter_43_36
Lineage: Bacteria; Candidatus Portnoyibacteriota
Also listed under: 2 other names
Description: tRNA-Ser
Rfam family: tRNA
About the family: Transfer RNA (tRNA) molecules are approximately 80 nucleotides in length.
Source: RNAcentral